Molecule: unclassified non-coding RNA, 859 nt
Filed under: Helichrysum asperum
Lineage: Eukaryota; Viridiplantae; Streptophyta; Magnoliopsida; Asterales; Asteraceae
Description: contains 5' external transcribed spacer, ETS
Source: RNAcentral
GUUGCGUCACAGUUCGGCUUGAGCACGAUCUAUGAGUGACAAUAUACUCGAUGUCCAAGGCAAUGCAACUCAACAAGUGGGGAGUUUGAUUUGGCUUUGACAAAUCAAACGAUCUGCGACAACAUCGACAUCGAUAGUGACGUGAUUUGCCUUUGUAAUCUUAAAACAUUGGUCAAUUUCGUUGUGUUGUUGUUGAUGGAUGGUGGUUACGUUGUUGUUGUUGAUGACAUUCGUCCCAAGGUGACGUGGUGUCAUGUUGCUUGUGUAUUCUAGUUUUAAGCUUUUCGAGCUUGAAACGUGUGGAUAAUCGGUGGUGACAUACAUCACUCCUUUGGUUGAUGAAGGUCGUCCAACGAUGUGGUGGUUUGUUUAUUUUGUUCUCGCAUCGUUCGGUGCAUUCUGUGGUCAUUUUGGCUAUUAAUGGCUUGCUUGGCAAUUGGGCUUUGUGGGUUGCUACUAGUUUGGGUGUCUUCGGGGAUGUCUACCGUAAAGGUGCAUGAGUGGUGUUUGGUUUGUUACGGGUGGUUGGCUCUUUGCUUGCACAACAACUUCCACCUGGCAUACCUCUUCAGUCUUGUGUCAAUGAUUGUAUUGCAUUGAAUGCACGACGGGUUUCUUGUGUUGCAUGCCUAAUUAAUGGUAUCCUUUGAUGAAUUGGUUUCCCUUUUCGUCUUGCGUCGCCUAUGCGAUGUGAGAUGAACCYUGAAGCAGCCUUUGUGAUCCACACUUUUGAUGCAUACGCAUUGAUUUUGUGGCCCAUUAAGUGUUGCUCGGUCUCAUGGAUAUGGAACCUGGUGUGGGCAUGGAAUCGUAAUGGUUCCUUGUUUGCCCAAGUUUAGCUUUCUUAAAMCGAUCGUCU